AGAGUUUGAUCCUGGCUCAGAUUGAACGCUGGCGGCAUGCCUAACACAUGCAAGUCGAACGGAAACGAUGCUAGCUUGCUAGCAGGCGUCGAGUGGCGGACGGGUGAGUAAUAUAUAGGGAUCUGCCUAAUAGUGGGGGACAACAUGUGGAAACGCAUGCUAAUACCGCAUACGCUCUACGGAGGAAAGUGGGGGAUCUUCGGACCUCAUGCUAUUAGAUGAACCUAUAUCGGAUUAGCUUGUUGGUGAGGUAAUGGCUCACCAAGGCGACGAUCCGUAGCUGGUUUGAGAGAAUGAUCAGCCACACUGGGACUGAGACACGGCCCAGACUCCUACGGGAGGCAGCAGUGGGGAAUAUUGCACAAUGGACGAAAGUCUGAUGCAGCAAUGCCGCGUGUGUGAAGAAGGCCUUCGGGUUGUAAAGCACUUUCAGAUGUGAGGAAAAGCAGUCUAUUAAUACUAGAUUGCCGUGACGUUAACAUCAGAAGAAGGACCGGCUAACUCCGUGCCAGCAGCCGCGGUAAUACGGAGGGUCCAAGCGUUAAUCGGAAUUACUGGGCGUAAAGCGCGCGUAGGCGGAUAUUUAAGUCAGAUGUGAAAUCCCUGGGCUCAACCUAGGAACUGCAUUUGAAACUGGAUAUCUAGAGUAUGGUAGAGGUGAGUGGAAUUUCAGGUGUAGCGGUGAAAUGCGUAGAGAUCUGAAGGAACAUCAGUGGCGAAGGCGACUCACUGGGCCAUUACUGACGCUGAGGUGCGAAAGCGUGGGUAGCAAACAGGAUUAGAUACCCUGGUAGUCCACGCCCUAAACGAUGUCAACUAGGUGUGUGAGAGUCUAACUCUUGCGUAUCGAAGCUAACGCGAUAAGUUGACCGCCUGGGGAGUACGGUCGCAAGACUAAAACUCAAAUGAAUUGACGGGGGCCCGCACAAGCGGUGGAGCAUGUGGUUUAAUUCGAUGCAACGCGAAGAACCUUACCUGGCCUUGACAUGUAGUGAACUUACCAGAGAUGGUUUGGUGCCUUCGGGAACACUAACACAGGUGCUGCAUGGCUGUCGUCAGCUCGUG
Molecule: ribosomal RNA, 1065 nt
Filed under: uncultured bacterium
Lineage: Bacteria
Description: bacterial SSU rRNA
Rfam family: Bacterial small subunit ribosomal RNA
Source: RNAcentral